AUAUCAAUAAGCGGAGGAAAAGAAACCAACAGGGAUUGCCCCAGUAACGGCGAGUGAAGCGGCAACAGCUCAAAUUUGAAAUCUGGCUCCGGCCCGAGUUGUAAUUUGUAGAGGAAGCUUUUGGUGAGGCACUUUCUGAGUCCCCUGGAACGGGGCGCCAUAGAGGGUGAGAGCCCCGUAUAGUUAGAUGCCGAGCCUCUGUAAAGCUCCUUCGACGAGUCGAGUAGUUUGGGAAUGCUGCUCAAAAUGGGAGGUAAAUUUCUUCUAAAGCUAAAUAUUGGCCAGAGACCGAUAGCGCACAAGUAGAGUGAUCGAAAGAUGAAAAGCACUUUGAAAAGAGGGUUAAACAGCACGUGAAAUUGUUGAAAGGGAAGCGCUUGUGACCAGACUUGCGUCGGGCUGAUCAUCCGGUGUUCUCACCGGUGCACUCUGCCCGGCUCAGGCCAGCAUCGGUUUUCGUGGGGGGAUAAAGGCCCGGGGAACGUAGCUCCUCCGGGAGUGUUAUAGCCCUGGGCGCAACGCCCCCGCGGGGACCGAGGUUCGCGCAUCUGCAAGGAUGCUGGCGUAAUGGUCACCAGCGACCCGUCUUGAAACACGGACCAAGGAGUCAAGGUUUUGCGCGAGUGUUUGGGUGUAAAACCCGCACGCGUAAUGAAAGUGAACGUAGGUGAGAGCUUCGGCGCAUCAUCGACCGAUCCUGAUGUUUUCGGAUGGAUUUGAGUAGGAGCGUUAAGCCUUGGACCCGAAAGAUGGUGAACUAUGCUUGGAUAGGGUGAAGCCAGAGGAAACUCUGGUGGAGGCUCGCAGCGGUUCUGACGUGCAAAUCGAUCGUCAAAUCUGAGCAUGGGGGCGAAAGACUAAUCGAACCAUCUAGUAGCUGGUUACCGCCGAAGUUUCCCUCAGGAUAGCAGUGUUGUUCUUCAGUUUUAUGAGGUAAAGCGAAUGAUUAGGGACUCGGGGGCGCUAUUUAGCCUUCAUCCAUUCUCAAACUUUAAAUAUGUAAGAAGCCCUUGUUACUUAAUUGAACGUGGGCAUUCGAAUGUACCAACACUAGUGGGCCAUUUUUGGUAAGCAGAACUGGCGAUGC
Molecule: ribosomal RNA, 1087 nt
Filed under: Bombardioidea anartia
Lineage: Eukaryota; Fungi; Ascomycota; Sordariomycetes; Sordariales; Lasiosphaeriaceae
Description: eukaryotic LSU rRNA
Rfam family: Eukaryotic large subunit ribosomal RNA
Source: RNAcentral